Molecule: non-coding RNA, 859 nt
Organism: Monodelphis domestica (gray short-tailed opossum)
Lineage: Eukaryota; Metazoa; Chordata; Mammalia; Didelphimorphia; Didelphidae
Source: RefSeq, a predicted model, not a curated record
AGGAAGUCAGGAGGGGCGGGGGGGCUGAGGGGAGCGCGCACACUCUCCGGCGCGCGUGCGCAUCCUCACUAACGGACCCCAACGAACUCAACGGGCGCUGCUGCCUCACGAGGCGCUCUGCCUGACAGCGAAGAGGAAGAGGGAGAGCGAGAGUGGUGACAGCCACUUCUUGUACCGCCUCCCACUCCUCGCUUUCCCUAUUCCGCUAGGGCAAGUCUCUCAGCUUUCUUUUUUCUCCUCUGGUUGAGAUGCUUUGGGCAUUUGUAGGAAACCGCUGGGACGGGCCCUGGGCCUAGCGGGGGGGAAGGAAGUAGUAAGGGUAUUUCCUGAGCCCAUGUCCUGCCCAUGGCUAGGACAUGCUGGGCUGGGCUGAUCAUUGGAGAAUUUUGUCCAGGCUGUGGGAAGAAAGGAUAAAGCCUCAAGAGAUGCUCUCAGGGAAUAUCUGAUUGAUGGCUCUGCAACUAUUUAAUGUCCAGCUUUGGUUUGUGAGUGCCAGAUGCUCUAUGCUGGGGAGCCCGCCUGCAACACAAGAAAGAAUGCAGCUUCCGUGCUGCUGAGCUAUAGGUACUGUGGUGUCAGCGUUUACACAAUAAGCCUUCAUUUCCCGGGAUCACGAACUCAGCUGGAUAUUGCCUGGAGAAUUUGUUUCCCCUUCUAAUAAGGUCUUGACUGUAGAACAACUUGAGCUCCUUUUGGAAAUUGAAGCCAUGAUUCAUAACAAGAGAGCAUAAAACCAAGAGUUUCUAUGUAGAAUUAUUAUAAAAUUUAGCAUUUCCUUUUCCUAGAAAUAAAGGAAAGACCUAAAGCACAGACUUAUAAAAACAUUCUGUUCAAUAAAUGUACUGAAUUUCGUAAGGAA